This 42-nucleotide transfer RNA is filed under the name Apodemus sp. Iran 74. Its description in RNAcentral is "partial tRNA-Phe". The record is from RNAcentral. Lineage: Eukaryota; Metazoa; Chordata; Mammalia; Rodentia; Muridae.
GUUGAUGUAGCUUAAUAACCAAAGCAAAGCACUGAAAAUGCU